AAAGUCGUAACAAGGUAACCGUAGGUGAACCUGCGGUUGGAUCAUUAAUAAAUGAAUUGGUUUUAUACCAAAACAUUGUGUGCAAUCAUAUCUGUCUCUGGUGGUUAAUGUUUCUUGUUUCGCUGGAUUUUUUUUCAGUGGGGCGAGAACGCACUACCACCAAUUGAAUACACAAACCUUUGUAUUUUUUUUUAUGUCUGAAUCAUUCACUUUUGUGCAAUGAAAAAACAACUUUUGACAACGGAUCUCUUGGCUCUC
Molecule: unclassified non-coding RNA, 258 nt
Filed under: Chytridiomycota sp.
Lineage: Eukaryota; Fungi; Chytridiomycota
Description: partial contains small subunit ribosomal RNA, internal transcribed spacer 1, and 5.8S ribosomal RNA
Rfam family: Eukaryotic small subunit ribosomal RNA (bases 1-47)
Source: RNAcentral